CCUACGGGAUGCAGCAGUGGGGAAUAUUGGGCAAUGGACGCAAGUCUGACCCAGCAACGCCGCGUGAAGGAAGAAUGCCUUCGGGUUGUAAACUUCUUUUAAGGGGGAAGAGCAGAAGACGGUACCCCUUGCAUUAGCCACGGCUAACUACGUGCCAGCAGACGCGCUAAUACGUAGGUGGCAACCGUUGUCCGGAUUUACUGGGGGUCAAGGGCGUGCAGCCGGGAAGACAAGUCAGAUGUGAACUCCCGGGGCUCAACCGCGGAACUGCAUUUGAAACUGUUUUUCUUGAGUAUCGGAGAGGUGAUCGGAAUUCCUAGUGUAGCGGUGAAAUGCGUAGAUAUUAGGAAGAACACCAGUGGCGAAGGCGGAUUACUGGACGACAACUGACGGUGAGGAGCGAAAGCGUGGGGAGCAAACAGGAUUAGAUACCCCGGUAGUC
RNAcentral lists this ribosomal RNA (442 nucleotides) under uncultured bacterium. RNAcentral describes it as "partial 16S ribosomal RNA". It matches the Rfam family "Bacterial small subunit ribosomal RNA", at positions 338 to 795 of the family's 1533-position model. The record is from RNAcentral.